UAUUAUUAAUUCUUCUGGAAAUUUUUAAUACCAUAUGGAGAACAGGAGACAUACCAUCAUCUUGGAAGGAAGCUAUUGUUAUUCCCAUUCCCAAACCGGGCAAGGACCACUGUGAUCCAAAUAAUUAUCGGCCAAUAGCUCUGACCAGUUGUGUCUGUAAAACCAUGGAAAGAAUGGUAAAUGACCGUCUGGUGUGGACACUGGAGUCAAGGCGCAAGAUCAGUGAUUAUCAGUGUGGUUUUAGACGUGGAAAAAGUACUUUAGACCAUCUUAUCAGCAACCUACCUAUUUUCAUCUCAAACUUCCUUUCUAAUAGAAUUUUUUGUGUUCAAAUAGGAACCACUUUAUCACAUGAACAUAUACAAGAACUAGGUGUUCCACAAGGAAGCAUUCUUUCGGUUACACUUUUCAGUGUCAAAAUCAACAGUAUAAUCAAGGUUAUAGAACCUCAUAUUUUUCGUAUCUUGUAUGUCGAUGACUUGUGUAUAGGCUACAGAGGAAAAAAUAUGAACGUAAUUGAGCGGCAACUACAGUUAUGCAUAAACAAGAUAAAUGACUGGUCAAUUAAAAAUGGAUUUAAGUUCUCUAGAACAAAGACUGUGUGCAUGCACUUUUGUCUUCUCCGAUCUCAACAUCUUGAUCCAGAGCUACAUAUGGAGGGUGAACCUAUCAAGAUUGUUAAAGAACUCAAAUUUCUAGGUUUGAUGUUUGAUAAUAAACUCAACUUUAUUCCACAUAUGAGAGCCUUAAGGAAAAAAUGCUCCAAAACUAUGGAUAUUUUAAAAGUAUUAACUAAAACAAAAUGGGGUGCAGAUUCCAAUGUGCUCUUACGCCUCUACAGAGUUCUAAUACGAUCUCGAUUGGAUUAUGGAAGUAUAGUGUAUGGACUGACAAGGAUAUCUUAUACAAAAGUACUUGAUACAAUACAUCAUCAAGGAAUACGUUUGGCCUUAGGAGCCUUCAGGACUACUCCCAUACAAAGCCUCUAUAUAGAAGCUGGAGAAUCAUCCCUUCAAAACAGGCAUUUGAAACUGUCCUUACAAUAUGCGAUCAAACUCAAGGCAAAUUGAAAUAAUCCAGCUUAUCUUUCAGUAUUGAAACCAGAACGGCUUUACGGCUUUACUUACUUAUAUGAAGCUAGACCGAAAUAUAUUAGGCCUUUUGGUUUAUGGAUUAAACCACAUCUAGACUUAAAUAUCAACUUGGAUUGUAUUAAACGGCUCUAUUAUUGCCCUGUACCUCCCUGGACUCUGGAAAAGCCAACCAUUUUUUGGACUCUGAAUCAGCACAAAAAGACAGAAACUCAUCCAAUUGAAUACCAACAGAAAUUCUUAGAGUUAAGGUCUUCAUUUCCACUACAUAAAACUGCAUUCACGGAUGGAUCAAAGACCAAUAACAGUGUAUCAGCAGCAGCAGUGAUAGGAGAUCAACAAUAUGGCAUUUGAAUUCCGGAUCAAGGCUCUAUUUUUACAGCUGAGGCUCGAGCAUUACUUCUUGUUCUAGAAAAUAUUGAGAAGGGUCAAGAACGGGACUUUUUAAUUGCCUCUGACUCAAGAUCAUGUCUUCAAGCACUUGAAUCUCUAAAAACUGAUCAUCCCAUAAUUGUUGAAAUCUUAACCAAAUUAGAUCUUUUAAAGAAAGAUAACUUUAAUAUUAUUUUUUGCUGGGUUCCAAGUCACAUUGGACUUACUGGAAAUGAGAGAGCGGACACUGCUGCCAGGGAUGCACUUGACCUGGAAGUAUCUGACUGUCAAAUACCACCUUCUGAUUUUAAACCAGUAAUUAAGUUAUAUAUAACUAAUAAGUGGCAGAAAGAAUGGGAUGGAAAUAAAAAUAAUAAGCUGUAUGAAAUAAACCCUAGUAUAAAAAGAAGUAGCUUCUAUAAUUUUAAAUCAAGACAUGAUCAAGUUGUGUUUACUAGGUGUAGACUGGGGCAUUCAAGACUUACCCAUGGGUUUUUAUUAAUAGGCGAAGUUCCUCCUUUAUGUCUUUCAUGUAAAGUUCCUUUGACUAUUAAGCAUAUUUUGUUGAAUUGUAAUUUUUAUGAUGCUGCUAGAAAACACUUUUAUUCAGAAACAUGCUUGCAUGCAAUAUUUGAAAAUGUACCACCUAAAUGUAUUUUAGAUUUUCUAUCUUAUGUUAAGUUGAAAUGUUUUAUAUAAUGUAAAUCUUAUGGAUGAUACUGAACUUUUUUGCCAUGUAAAUAGCCAUGAUGCUAACAUGGCGUAAAAAAACUUAAUAAACAAACAAACUCUUUCACAGCUUUCAACAUUAACACCAUUAGAACAAUUAUUGACAAUUUCAAUUCGAAGAAGAGAUUGUCAAAUUUGGGGCAAGUAAUCAAAGAGAUGCACAGCGUUACCAUCACAUGUAAACCCAUGAUAGUAAUCAUGAUCACAAGCUCUUUGGAUUGACUUCCCCCACCUCGAAGGAAACCAGACUGAAAUUCCUAAGGAGACCUGUUAACCUCUCUGGUCUUCACAGGACAUAUCCUUACUCCACAGAAUGGCACAGAGAAUGCCUUCCAAUGCAUAUAUGCACCAAAAUGAACUCAAAAAAGACUUCUGAAUGGAUAUCAGUCCAUUGCUUAACUCCAUAUCAUACAUGUAACCCACACAUUUGAUUAUAAUGUUUCUAAUCACUUAUUGUGUAUGUCUAUUUAAAUAACUCUUGAAUAGCUUAAGGGAUCAUAUUAAUGUUUAGUAUGUGUGUGUUCGAAUCUUCUUGCUUGAAACGUUUCUGACCAUCAGUUAUUUGUCAAAUGUAUCAUAUUCUUGUUAUAGGAAUCAUGUCCAAAUUAUACCCUGCAAGAGCGGGAAAAUUCGGACCACGUGCUUGAUAAGAUAACAUAUGAUUUAUGAAUGGGUGGGACAAACAUCGCAACAUACCGAGAAAAGACAAUAUCUAAUUGGUCAAGACAACAUUUGAGGUGUGGCCAAAAGGCCAGUUUAAAUACUCAGGACACCAUCAAAUUUAGCUUUUUAGCUUUUGGGCUUUUAGCCUUUGAUUUUUAGCCUUUGCUUUUUAGCCUGCUUUUAGCUUUUGCUUUAGCUUUUAGCCUUUGCUUUUUAGCUUUUAGCUUUUGCUUUAGCUUUUAGCCUGCUUUUAGCUUUUGCUUUUAGUCAUGCUUUUAGUCAUCACUUUUAGCAUUCUUCGAGCGCCGUUCCAGCGUGCUUCGGCCUGCACGCCUGCUACUUAGCCACGAUGAGAAGAAACACCACCUAGUCUCAUCAAACUUUACUUCUAUUCUUUUACUUUAGUUUCUUUUCUUUUCCGUUUGAGAGUUCGUGUUCUGAGUUAAGUUUUGUAACACCGUGUCUCUGAGUCUGACCUCGCGUGCCCGUCUGAAACUUCAACCAGCCCACAACUCUGCAUCGUCAGCCAACGCCCAACCACGAGCUUCCCAAGACGUCACUUCAACGACUACUGAACUUCCAGCCAAUCAGCAACCUCGGGAAACCCCCUUUUCAGCAACACCAAAGGGAACCCCGUUACACAGGCAUCACAAGUAACGUACCUCCAGACUCUGAUCUGUACUGGUGUUAUCUAAUAUAAUUUUAAACUCAUUGAGGAACUCAAUGCGAGGGUUAAUUAAGUGACUGAUGGUUGUUCAUGUCUAUGCAAUUUCACAUAUUGCUGUAAACUUGGGAUUCCACAUUUUCAUUCUUUUAAACUCACCCUUUCCUAACUUUCUAUCCUCCUGCAACUUGUGUGAAUGUGUGAGUGCGUGUGCUUAUGUGUUAGAUUAGUUUAUGUCUUAGAUUUAUUUAAUAAAGGCUCAUUCAUAUUGAAAAGAGAAGUAUCUUGUGUUUUGUGCUCACAAGUUAACGUCUUAAACUGCCGAUCUUGUUACUGUGCUAAUUAAUAGUGUUUUCACUAUACUUUGGAUAUUAAUAUCCAGUACAGAUUUGAUGUUAAACGGCUCGUUCAGUGAAUUGCUGGCCGUUUCGGUGAUCAGCCGUGAAACAGUGAUUCUGUUCAAAUUCCCUUAAAAUCUUAAAUGAUUCCCUUUGAGCUAAAUUGACCUGUUUCCCUUACAGUAUUGUAUUGCAGUUUCACAGUAUUCCCAGUAAACUUCAUGGAAAUUAAUCAUCUAUGUCCUGGAGUUUCUUGGGAGUGUUUAAGCUGAAUGGAGCGUAGUCCAUGACAGUGAAAAGACGACAACGCAGCUAAUGAGGGACACAAG
Long non-coding RNA from Cyprinus carpio carpio, 4186 nucleotides. The record is from Ensembl. NCBI's taxonomy places the organism in Eukaryota, Metazoa, Chordata, Actinopteri, Cypriniformes, Cyprinidae.